This 497-nucleotide ribosomal RNA is filed under the name uncultured bacterium. RNAcentral describes it as "partial 16S ribosomal RNA". It matches the Rfam family "Bacterial small subunit ribosomal RNA", at positions 28 to 507 of the family's 1533-position model. The record is from RNAcentral.
GAUGAACGCUGGCGGCGUGCCUAAUACAUGCAAGUCGAGCGAACAGAUGAGGAGCUUGCUCCUCUGACGUUAGCGGCGGACGGGUGAGUAACACGUGGAUAACCUACCUAUAAGACUGGGAUAACUUCGGGAAACCGGAGCUAAUACCGGAUAAUAUAUUGAACCGCAUGGUUCAAUAGUGAAAGACGGUUUUGCUGUCACUUAUAGAUGGAUCCGCGCCGCAUUAGCUAGUUGGUAAGGUAACGGCUUACCAAGGCAACGAUGCGUAGCCGACCUGAGAGGGUGGUCGGCGACACUAGAGCUGAGACGCGGUCCAGACGCCUACGAGAGGCAGCAGUAGGGAAUAUUCCGGAAUGGGCGAAAGCCGGACGGAGCAACGCCGCGGGAGGAAUGAAGGUCUUCGGAUCGUAAAACUCUGUUAUUAGGGAAGAACAAAUGUGUAAGUAACUAUGCACGUCUUGACGGUACCUAAUCAGAAAGCCACGGCUAACUACGUG